GGUGUCUGUGAUGUCACUUUUACCUACAUUGUUCGACUGCUGCUGAGAAAAACCCCAAAUCCUGAGACACCC
Vidua chalybeata is the source of this 72-nucleotide small nucleolar RNA. RefSeq annotates it as small nucleolar RNA SNORD34. NCBI's taxonomy places the organism in Eukaryota, Metazoa, Chordata, Aves, Passeriformes, Viduidae. The transcript has a single exon. The record is from RefSeq and is a predicted model, not a curated record.